RNAcentral lists this ribosomal RNA (254 nucleotides) under uncultured bacterium. RNAcentral describes it as "partial 16S ribosomal RNA". It matches the Rfam family "Bacterial small subunit ribosomal RNA", at positions 524 to 776 of the family's 1533-position model. The record is from RNAcentral.
UACAGAGGUCCCGAGCGUUUGUUCGGAUUCACUGGGCGUAAAGGGUGCGUAGGUGGCGUGGUAAGUUUGAUGUGAAAGCUCAGGGCUUAACCCUGAAAUGGCAUUGAAUACUACUGUGCUGGAGGUUUGGAGGGGGGACUGGAAUUCUUGGUGUAGCAGUGAAAUGCGUAGAUAUCAAGAGGAACACCAGUGGCGAAGGCGAGUCCCUGGACAACACCUGACACUGAGGCACGAAAGCUAGGGGAGCAAACAGG